RNAcentral lists this ribosomal RNA (460 nucleotides) under uncultured bacterium. RNAcentral describes it as "partial 16S ribosomal RNA". It matches the Rfam family "Bacterial small subunit ribosomal RNA", at positions 338 to 795 of the family's 1533-position model. The record is from RNAcentral.
CCUACGGGCGGCAGCAGUGAGGAAUAUUGGUCAAUGGACGCAAGUCUGAACCAGCCAUGCCGCGUGCAGGAAGACGGCUCUAUGAGUUGUAAACUGCUUUUGUACGAGGGUAAACGCAGAUACGCGUAUCUGUCUGAAAGUAUCCUACGAAUAAGGAUCGGCCAAAUCCGUGCCAGCAGCCGCGGUAAUACGGAGGAUUCAAGCGUUAUCCGGAUUUUUUGGGGUUAAAGGGUUCGUAGGCGGUCGGAUAAGUUAGAGGUGAAAUCCUGGGGCUCAAACUCGGAAUUGCCUCUGAUACUGUUCGUCUAGAGAGUAGUUGCGGUAGGCGGAAUGUAUGGUGUAGCGGUGAAAUGCUUAGAGAUCAUACAGAACACCGAUUGCGAAGGCAGCUUACCAAGCUACUUCUGACGUUGAGGCACGAAAGCGUGGGGAGCAAACAGGAUUAGAUACCCUGGUAGUC